Molecule: transfer RNA, 70 nt
Filed under: Magnetofaba australis IT-1
Lineage: Bacteria; Pseudomonadati; Pseudomonadota; Magnetococcia; Magnetococcales; Magnetococcaceae
Description: tRNA-Val
Source: RNAcentral
GGAGGGUGAAACCCGGAGCACUACCUUGACACGGUAGGGGUCACAAGUUCAAUCCUUGUACCGCCCACCA